This 142-nucleotide small RNA is filed under the name Salmonella enterica. RNAcentral describes it as "RtT sRNA". It matches the Rfam family "RtT RNA". From Rfam's summary of the family: This family represents a bacterial cis-regulatory element known as RtT RNA. Lineage: Bacteria; Pseudomonadati; Pseudomonadota; Gammaproteobacteria; Enterobacterales; Enterobacteriaceae. The record is from RNAcentral.
GAGCGAUCAUAAGGGAGCUGACUGUAAAUCUGCCGUCAUCGACUUCAAGGUUCGACUCGAGCAAUAGUGAGAGAACGUUGCCGCAGGCAACGGUCCGAAGGGUGAGGAGCUUUAGCUCCGAAUAAUCCUUCCCGCUAUAGAA